GCGAAACGGCAGGAGGGCAAACCGAAGUGUUUACACUUCGGGGUUGUAGGACUGCGACGUGGGACUUUAAAAGGAUAGAAGAAUUACCUGGGAAGGUAAGCCAAAGAGAGUAAAAGCCUCGUAUUUAAAAUUCUUUUGAGCCCUAGCAGUAUCCUGAGUACGGCGAGACACGUGAAAUCUCGUUGGAAUCUGGGAGGACCAUCUCCCAACCCUAAAUACUCUCUAGUGACCGAUAGUGAACCAGUACCGUGAGGGAAAGGUGAAAAGCACCCCGGGAGGGGAGUGAAAUAGAACCUGAAACCGUGUGCCUACAACAAGUUCGAGCCCGUUAAUGGGUGAGAGCGUGCCUUUUGUAGAAUGAACCGGCGAGUUACGAUAUGAU
This 382-nucleotide ribosomal RNA is filed under the name Escherichia coli. Its description in RNAcentral is "bacterial LSU rRNA". It matches the Rfam family "Bacterial large subunit ribosomal RNA", at positions 253 to 639 of the family's 2925-position model. The record is from RNAcentral. Lineage: Bacteria; Pseudomonadati; Pseudomonadota; Gammaproteobacteria; Enterobacterales; Enterobacteriaceae.